CCUACGGGUGGCAGCAGUGAGGAAUAUUGGUCAAUGGGCGCGAGCCUGAACCAGCCAAGUAGCGUGAAGGAUGACUGCCCUAUGGGUUGUAAACCUCUUUUGUCAGGGAGCAACGCCGGCUACGUGUAGCCGGACUGAGAGUACCUGAAGAAAAAGCAUCGGCUAACUCCGUGCCAGCAGCCGCGGUAAUACGGAGGAUGCGAGCGUUAUCCGGAUUUAUUGGGUUUAAAGGGAGCGUAGGUGGAUUGUUAAGUCAGUUGUGAAAGUUUGCGGCUCAACCGUAAAAUUGCAGUUGAAACUGGCAGUCUUGAGUACAGUAGAGGUGGGCGGAAUUCGUGGUGUAGCGGUGAAAUGCUUAGAUAUCACGAAGAACUCCGAUUGCGAAGGCAGAUUGCUGGACAGUAACUGACGCUGAGGCGCGAAAGCGUGGGGAGCAAACAGGAUUAGAUACCCGGGUAGUC
RNAcentral lists this ribosomal RNA (461 nucleotides) under uncultured bacterium. RNAcentral describes it as "partial 16S ribosomal RNA". It matches the Rfam family "Bacterial small subunit ribosomal RNA", at positions 338 to 795 of the family's 1533-position model. The record is from RNAcentral.